This 73-nucleotide transfer RNA is filed under the name Microgenomates group bacterium ADurb.Bin219. RNAcentral's name for it is "tRNA-Arg". It matches the Rfam family "tRNA". From Rfam's summary of the family: Transfer RNA (tRNA) molecules are approximately 80 nucleotides in length. Their secondary structure includes four short double-helical elements and three loops (D, anti-codon, and T loops). Further hydrogen bonds mediate the characteristic L-shaped molecular structure. tRNAs have two regions of fundamental functional importance: the anti-codon, which is responsible for specific mRNA codon recognition, and the 3' end, to which the tRNAs corresponding amino acid is attached (by aminoacyl-tRNA synthetases). tRNAs cope with the degeneracy of the genetic code in two manners: having more than one tRNA (with a specific anti-codon) for a particular amino acid; and 'wobble' base-pairing, i.e. permitting non-standard base-pairing at the 3rd anti-codon position. The record is from RNAcentral.
GCCCCCAUAGCUCAACGGAUAGAGUAGCCGCGUCCUAAGCGGUUGAUGGGAGUUCAAUUCUCUCUGGGGGUAC